UGGGCGCAAGCCUGAUGCAGCCAUGGCCGCGUGUGUGAAGAAGGCCUUCGGGUUGUAAAGCACUUUCAGUCGUGAGGAAGGUAGUGUAGUUAAUAGCUGMUUYRUUUGACGUUAGCGACAGAAGAAGCACCGGCUAWCUCCGUG
Molecule: ribosomal RNA, 144 nt
Filed under: Vibrio parahaemolyticus
Lineage: Bacteria; Pseudomonadati; Pseudomonadota; Gammaproteobacteria; Vibrionales; Vibrionaceae
Description: partial 16S ribosomal RNA
Rfam family: Bacterial small subunit ribosomal RNA
Source: RNAcentral